RNAcentral lists this unclassified non-coding RNA (335 nucleotides) under soil metagenome. RNAcentral's name for it is "partial contains 5.8S ribosomal RNA, internal transcribed spacer 2, and large subunit ribosomal RNA". The stretch from base 1 to 120 matches the Rfam family "5.8S ribosomal RNA", at positions 35 to 154 of the family's 154-position model. The record is from RNAcentral.
GAUGAAGAACGUAGCGAAAUGCGAUAAGUAAUGUGAAUUGCAGAAUUCAGUGAAUCAUCGAAUCUUUGAACGCACAUUGCGCCCAUUAGCAUUCUAGUGGGCAUGCCUGUUCGAGCGUCAUUUCAACCCUUAAGCCCUGUUGCUUAGCGUUGGGAGCCUACAGUACUGUAGCUCCCCAAAGUUAGUGGCGGAGUCGGUUCCACACUCUAGACGUAGUAAUUUUUUCUCGUCUGUAGUUGAGCCGGUCCCCUGCCGUAAAACACCCAAUUUAUCAAGGUUGACCUCGGAUCAGGUAGGAAUACCCGCUGAACUUAAGCAUAUCAAUAAGCGGAGGA